CGGGGUAUCUGUUUGGUGGAACCUGAUUAGAGGAAACUCAAAGAGUGCUAUGG
This 53-nucleotide unclassified non-coding RNA is filed under the name Saccharomyces cerevisiae (brewer's yeast). RNAcentral describes it as "partial miscellaneous RNA". Lineage: Eukaryota; Fungi; Ascomycota; Saccharomycetes; Saccharomycetales; Saccharomycetaceae. The record is from RNAcentral.